CCCUAUUAUUUUGGAACGUUAAUUGUUUUUGUGCCUGAGUAGUAUUAGUUAUGUUCUUGAAACUUAAAGAAUUUGGCGGUAUCUCAUUCCGUCCAGAGGAAUCUGUCUCGUUAUCGAUAGUCCACGUUGGACCUUACUUAGUUGAAUUUGGUUUGUAUACCGCCGUUUAUUGAUUAUCUUUUUAGGGUCUUUAAUUUUCUGGUUUCUUUAUUUUGAUUUAUUUCAGGUCAAGGUGCAGCUUGUUUCUAAGUGGAAUGAUGGAUUACAUUGUUAUUUGUUUGUGGAUUGUUGGAUUUAAAGGGUAUCUGCAUGAAAUUGGAUUUGGUUGUAAUUGUUUGUAGAUUGUUAUUGUGAUAGGUGGUUCUGGGAUAUGCACACAUCGCCCGUCGCUCUCGUUUGUUGUUAAUGAGAUAAGUC
Molecule: ribosomal RNA, 417 nt
Filed under: Cyrilliotermes angulariceps
Lineage: Eukaryota; Metazoa; Arthropoda; Insecta; Blattodea; Termitidae
Description: partial 12S ribosomal RNA
Source: RNAcentral